Long non-coding RNA from Ictalurus punctatus (channel catfish), 528 nucleotides. The record is from Ensembl. NCBI's taxonomy places the organism in Eukaryota, Metazoa, Chordata, Actinopteri, Siluriformes, Ictaluridae.
CUUUUCCUGUCCUUGCAUCUCAGCUCCACCCACUUAGGAUGUGUGGGAAGGAUGCAAGGAUGAGAUCUGAGGAGAGAGGAAUUGGAGCAAGUCAAAUGGAAUAUCUUCACUCUCUCGAGCAUCACUUCAAAGCGACGUCACUUAAUGAUGACUGGGCUCAGCUGAAUGACCUCACUGUGCUUCAGGGAUCUGCUGUUAUGUUGUUGGAGCUCGGCUAAAUGCACUGAUAACGUAAAGGAGGAGGGGAAUUUAUACAUGCGUGAGGUUUUUCGACAAGAAGCACUUCUGCAUAGGAUACACCUGUGUAUCCUUGCCCCUAGCUCCUCUGGAAGCUUCCUCACGCCUCGUUCCUCGCCCUCUCACGGUGCAGUUAGAGAAUUGAGAUGUCCUUCAAGAUGGUUGACUGUGAUCAAUUUCCGGGUCACGGGCUGGAGGACAGAGGAGUGAGGAAACGAGGAAGCGUCAAUUUGAGUAUUGUGAAGCACCCCUGGAGGACACCAAGUUCAUUCAUACAUAUUUCUUGUUUCA